Long non-coding RNA from Bos taurus (domestic cattle), 311 nucleotides. The record is from Ensembl. Lineage: Eukaryota; Metazoa; Chordata; Mammalia; Artiodactyla; Bovidae.
CUUUAAUGCUGGCUUAUAGCCAGCUAACUGCUUCUUACCCACAGAGAACACCGAGAGUAUCAAGUGUGCACAAAGCCGUAUUGCUUCUGUUCUUGGUUCAGCACCUGCGAAAGAAGAAAACAACCCACGCUUAUUCGGCAGACAAGUCAAACAGUGAAAACCAAUGAAAGUACACCCACUUGGUGGCAGCGAUUACCAUCUUGGAAUUUGCAAAGAAAACAAAAUUCCUACUGGGGUUUGGGAGAUUCUCACCCUGCUUAUUCCCAGCUCUGUGAGAGACGGCUGGAGGCUCUGAUGGAUGAUGCAGAAUG